Macaca mulatta (Rhesus monkey) is the source of this 2301-nucleotide non-coding RNA. The record is from RefSeq and is a predicted model, not a curated record. Lineage: Eukaryota; Metazoa; Chordata; Mammalia; Primates; Cercopithecidae.
UUCUUCUUUGCCAAGGAGAACAAUCUAUUGACUCAAAAGAAAAAGAAACUUUGGUAAGAGAAAAUUGAAGCUCUAGAUGAGUAAAAAGAUUCUAACAGUACCAAGCUGCCGUAAAUGAGCUCAAGUCUCUUGGCCAGGACAAAUUACACUCCAGGGAGUAGAGAGAACUCGCCUCUGAAGCUGUAAAGCCUCUGCUGAUAAUCUUUACAGAACAUGGAGACUGUGAAAGAAAUUGGAACGCUAGAGAUGGCAAAAUAUAGGUCUGAUUAGUAAAGAGGGGGAAAGCUCCUGCAAACUACAGAAGUGGGGCUCUCCUAUCCAUCCUCAUUAAGUUCUCUGAUCAGACUACUUAAGGCUGACUUGUGAGCACGUGAAAAAUGGAGCAGAAUCCUCUAGAAGCCUGUGUGGGUUCUUUAAGAGCAAGCCACGACAAGGUAACUGUGUUCCCAGUUUCGUGGUGGGCUUGCUAGAUUAUUAUGUCAGGGAAUUGUGUUAGCUAUGGUAGAGACAAAGUACACCUCGGCUUGUCUGUCUGUCAAGGAAUCUCAUGAUAAAUUUGUGCAUGAGAUGAAGUAAUUUCAGCUGCAGACCAGCAUGCCUGUUAGGUGGAUUUAGAACUGUUUUUAUGGCCAUUCCCAAAGAUGCUAGUCAAUGUCCUUGCGGAAGUGCAUUUCUAGUUGAAGGCACAGUCAUUUUCGCAUUUGAUAUUUUUAUUAGUGUGUGGACAUAGAUGACUUAGUUAAUACCUGACACAUUUGGAGACGACAUGCAGAGAAUACUUUGGUUGACACACCAGGGCCCAAAGAACAGACUACAGUGCUAAGCUAAAUGUAAUGAUAUAAGAUGAAACAGGAAAAAAAGAAAAAAAAAAAGAUGAAACAGGGAAACGGUAGGGUGAGAUGCUCCCGUCCAAAUAGUCCCUGUGUGAGUGCAGGGCCAAGAGGCAAAAUCAUCGGCAGAGAGAAAAAAAAAAACAAGAAUCUCAGCUGACAGUAACACGGCACGUUGUUCAGCUGCUCUGAGCCCAUUGUGGCCUUGGGUUGAAUUGAGGGAAGCAUGAAAGAGAUGCUCUUGACACCUGGAAUGUUGCAUUUGGUGGUGAGUUCCCCUUUGUGAGAUGCCCGAGAGUGUGGAGACGAAGAUGAGCGAUGUGUCUCGGGGAGGGAGCUCUGAAUCCUGUCAUCUGAGAAACAUUUAAGGAACUGGAAGAGGUCAGUCUGAAGCUUCCUAAAACAGAGGAGCUUCUCGGGGUGAGAGCGCCUGUCAGUGGAGAUGACCGAGUGGAGAGAAGAAAGUCCCUUGGAAGAGCUGAAGGCGUGUGAUGGGUGUUUGGUCACAAAGGAAUCGUUAAUGUCCCUCCAGGCACUGGACCAGGAAGGAGAAAAAUGGGGCCCUUUCUGGCCAAGUGCUUUCACUGACUCCAGGUACAAGGAAGAAUACAAUAUGAUUCCUGUCCUCAGAGAUGGAAAAGUUCGCAUGCCUGUGGAUACUAGCCUUUACACAGACAACAUAAGGACUGAACAGCGUGGUAAUUAAUGAAGAUGAAAGAAGUAGAAAGAGUAACAAGUAAUAAGUGAGAAUAAGUAUUAAACUAAGUACUGACUUUGGGAGUACCCAGGCUCCAUUUUUAUGCCAAAUCUCUGGUGUUAAGGCAUAAGAGAUACUGUGUCCCCUAAAAGGGGAUAUGUUCUAAGACAUAGCACAAAACAGCAGAAAAAAUAACGUUCUGCUGCUGACUUGUGUUCAUUUUUCAACUUGUGGGCCACUAGGACUCUUGAAUCUUCUUUCCCCAUAUUUGCAUCUAAUUAGCAUUUGCAUAGUUGCUGUCUUUCCCUGAAAUGUUUCUUUCUCAACACUCAGUAUUGCCAUAACAAGAUGGGGAAAUAGAGGAAAUAAUUUUUUUAAAAUGUUCAAUUGAUUUCCUUUUUUAAAAAGACACCUUUUUUGAAUUAUUACAUAUCAUAAAAUUCAUCUGUUUUGUGUGUGCAACUCAAUGAAUUUUAGUAAAUUUACAGAGGUGUGCAGCCAUCACAACCAGUUUUAAAACAUUUCCAUUACCAGAGAGAAUAAUUUAGGGGCACAAUCCAAUGAGUGUGGGCAUAUUUAACCCACUUGAGCAUGCAUUUCUGAAACUGUUGUACUUAAGAAAAUCUGUCAGCAAAUUUUGAGUUGCUUCUUGAUAUACUUUUGCAAAACAAAGUAAAAUGCAGAAGAAGGAAGGAUCUCUGUGCCUGAAAUCCUGAGAAACCAUUAUCUAUUUUGCAGAUCACUUCAUUAAUAAACAGAUUAUUACAAAAAUAA